AUCUGCUCAGCGAGUUGUCAGGAGCGGCCUUUAUCUUCUCUUCAUCCUCCACCGUCUUCUACCUUAUCUCUUUUCUCUUAUGUCUCUCUCUUUCUCCCUUCCUUCUCUCCUGGGCGAGCAGGCGCCGGUGGCCCGCAGGGUGGCGAUCCCCACGGCGCGCGGCGUCCCCCGGACGGCCGCAGCAUCGGAGACGUGUGCGCGGGCGCGGCCACGAGUGCGGCCAGGCCGCGGUUCAGUUCCUGCUCAAGGUUUGCUCAACUCUGAAGGUGACGGUGGACAUGUACGGGAAGCAGAAGUGGGCGGCCGACGGUGGAGGCCCUGGCGACCUCUUUAACUAAUGUGCCGUAGUAUUUUUUUUAGAUAGUUGAAUGUUGAAUCUCUCAUGUUGUAUCGGUUGAAUCUCUCCUGUAAUUUUGGGUCUUUGUGAUUUUGGCUUGAAUGUUGUAAACUUUGUGCCAUAAUUUUUUUUCUUAUAUGUAGUUGUUGAAUCUGUUCUAGUUGAAUCUCUCCUGUUGUAUAAUUUGUCUUUUA
Long non-coding RNA from Panicum virgatum (switchgrass), 531 nucleotides. RefSeq lists it as uncharacterized. The transcript has 2 exons. The record is from RefSeq and is a predicted model, not a curated record. Lineage: Eukaryota; Viridiplantae; Streptophyta; Magnoliopsida; Poales; Poaceae.